GUUCCGUUGUGGUCUCUAAUAGUGGCUGGAGCCUGGAGGAAGCUUUGCGUGUGUCAAGUAGCCAUUAUUUGGACGUCGUAUUUAGCGUAACCCUAUGGCGGCAGCGUCCCUUACUACUGUCAGGAUUCUGUUAAGAUAUGGAGAAAGACAGGCCAAGGGAAGAGGAGGAAGAGGUAGGGGAAGAUAGGAAG
RNAcentral lists this long non-coding RNA (191 nucleotides) under Portunus trituberculatus (swimming crab). Its description in RNAcentral is "uncharacterized LOC123518320". Lineage: Eukaryota; Metazoa; Arthropoda; Malacostraca; Decapoda; Portunidae. The record is from RNAcentral.